AAACUGUGUUGUGGACAUGAACUGAGAAGAUCCUUGAACCGCUCCCAACAUUAGAAGAAUGUUUCAUCCUCUUUUUGGGCGAAGAUCAUACUUAACUUCUAAGGGU
This is a small nucleolar RNA of Magnolia sinica, 106 nucleotides long. The record is from RefSeq and is a predicted model, not a curated record. NCBI's taxonomy places the organism in Eukaryota, Viridiplantae, Streptophyta, Magnoliopsida, Magnoliales, Magnoliaceae.